GAGAGCCCCCGGCUCAACCGGGGAAGGGUCAUUGGAAACUUGGGAAACUUGAGUGCAGAAGAGGAGAGUGGAAUUCCACGUGUAGCGGUGAAAUGCGUAGAGAUGUGGAGGAACACCAGUGGCGAAGGCGACUCUCUGGUCUGUAACUGACGCUGAGGAGCGAAAGCGUGGGGAGCGAACAGGAUUAGAUACCCUGGUAGUCCACGCCGUAAACGAUGAGUGCUAAGUGUUAGGGGGUUUCCGCCCCUUAGUGCUGCAGCUAACGCAUUAAGCACUCCGCCUGGGGAGUACGGUCGCAAGACUGAAACUCAAAGGAAUUGACGGGGGCCCGCACAAGCGGUGGAGCAUGUGGUUUAAUUCGAAGCAACGCGAAGAACCUUACCAGGUCUUGACAUCCUCUGACAACCCUAGAGAUAGGGCUUUCCCUUCGGGGACAGAGUGACAGGUGGUGCAUGGUUGUCGUCAGCUCGUGUCGUGAGAUGUUGGGUUAAGUCCCGCAACGAGCGCAACCCUUGAUCUUAGUUGCCAGCAUUCAGUUGGGCACUCUAAGGUGACUGCCGGUGACAAACCGGAGGAAGGUGGGGAUGACGUCAAAUCAUCAUGCCCCUUAUGACCUGGGCUACACACGUGCUACAAUGGACAGAACACAAGGCUGCAAGACCGCAAGGUUUAGCCAAUCCCAUAAAUCUGUUCUCAGUUCGGAUCGCAGUCUGCAACUCGACUGCCUGAAGCUGGAAUCGCUAGUAAUCGCGGAU
This 755-nucleotide ribosomal RNA is filed under the name Bacillus pumilus. Its description in RNAcentral is "bacterial SSU rRNA". It matches the Rfam family "Bacterial small subunit ribosomal RNA", at positions 596 to 1349 of the family's 1533-position model. Lineage: Bacteria; Bacillati; Bacillota; Bacilli; Caryophanales; Bacillaceae. The record is from RNAcentral.